RNAcentral lists this ribosomal RNA (1401 nucleotides) under Klebsiella pneumoniae. Its description in RNAcentral is "bacterial SSU rRNA". It matches the Rfam family "Bacterial small subunit ribosomal RNA". Lineage: Bacteria; Pseudomonadati; Pseudomonadota; Gammaproteobacteria; Enterobacterales; Enterobacteriaceae. The record is from RNAcentral.
GUCGAGCGGUAGCACAGAGAGCUUGCUCUCGGGUGACGAGCGGCGGACGGGUGAGUAAUGUCUGGGAAACUGCCUGAUGGAGGGGGAUAACUACUGGAAACGGUAGCUAAUACCGCAUAAUGUCGCAAGACCAAAGUGGGGGACCUUCGGGCCUCAUGCCAUCAGAUGUGCCCAGAUGGGAUUAGCUAGUAGGUGGGGUAACGGCUCACCUAGGCGACGAUCCCUAGCUGGUCUGAGAGGAUGACCAGCCACACUGGAACUGAGACACGGUCCAGACUCCUACGGGAGGCAGCAGUGGGGAAUAUUGCACAAUGGGCGCAAGCCUGAUGCAGCCAUGCCGCGUGUGUGAAGAAGGCCUUCGGGUUGUAAAGCACUUUCAGCGGGGAGGAAGGCGAUAAGGUUAAUAACCUUGUCGAUUGACGUUACCCGCAGAAGAAGCACCGGCUAACUCCGUGCCAGCAGCCGCGGUAAUACGGAGGGUGCAAGCGUUAAUCGGAAUUACUGGGCGUAAAGCGCACGCAGGCGGUCUGUCAAGUCGGAUGUGAAAUCCCCGGGCUCAACCUGGGAACUGCAUUCGAAACUGGCAGGCUAGAGUCUUGUAGAGGGGGGUAGAAUUCCAGGUGUAGCGGUGAAAUGCGUAGAGAUCUGGAGGAAUACCGGUGGCGAAGGCGGCCCCCUGGACAAAGACUGACGCUCAGGUGCGAAAGCGUGGGGAGCAAACAGGAUUAGAUACCCUGGUAGUCCACGCCGUAAACGAUGUCGAUUUGGAGGUUGUGCCCUUGAGGCGUGGCUUCCGGAGCUAACGCGUUAAAUCGACCGCCUGGGGAGUACGGCCGCAAGGUUAAAACUCAAAUGAAUUGACGGGGGCCCGCACAAGCGGUGGAGCAUGUGGUUUAAUUCGAUGCAACGCGAAGAAACCUUACCUGGUCUUGACAUCCACAGAACUUUGCAGAGAUGGUUUGGUGCCUUCGGGAACUGUGAGACAGGUGCUGCAUGGCUGUCGUCAGCUCGUGUUGUGAAAUGUUGGGUUAAGUCCCGCAACGAGCGCAACCCUUAUCCUUUGUUGCCAGCGGUCCGGCCGGGAACUCAAAGGAGACUGCCAGUGAUAAACUGGAGGAAGGUGGGGAUGACGUCAAGUCAUCAUGGCCCUUACGACCAGGGCUACACACGUGCUACAAUGGCAUAUACAAAGAGAAGCGACCUCGCGAGAGCAAGCGGACCUCAUAAAGUAUGUCGUAGUCCGGAUUGGAGUCUGCAACUCGACUCCAUGAAGUCGGAAUCGCUAGUAAUCGUAGAUCAGAAUGCUACGGUGAAUACGUUCCCGGGCCUUGUACACACCGCCCGUCACACCAUGGGAGUGGGUUGCAAAAGAAGUAGGUAGCUUAACCUUCGGGAGGGCGC